Molecule: transfer-messenger RNA, 350 nt
Filed under: Eubacteriales
Lineage: Bacteria; Bacillati; Bacillota; Clostridia
Also listed under: 1 other name
Description: DTU064 sp021199825 Standard tmRNA
Rfam family: transfer-messenger RNA
About the family: Bacterial tmRNA, also known as 10Sa RNA or SsrA, is named for its dual tRNA and mRNA-like properties.
Source: RNAcentral
GGGGGCGUAAAGGUUUCGACGGGGACUUUGAGAUACGAUAAGCGGGCAGAGCACGGAGCAAGCUCUCAAACCGGCUCCAAUUAAAUUUUUAACUGCUAACGACGAUUUAGCUCUCGCUGCCUAAGUGCGGCGCGUCUGACAUAAGGGGUACCACGACCUUUUGUCGGGCGUCACGACCGUGGUGAACGUGAACCGCAGUUUCGCACUUGAAGCGGUCACGCAUAAAAGUGCUUUCCCUUUGCCGCCGCGGGCAUCCGACGGCACUGCGGGAGAUUAACGGUGUCAUGCGCCCGGAGAAAAUCGUAAGGAUGGGUUUUCGGACAGGGGUUCGAUUCCCCUCGCCUCCAUAU